RNAcentral lists this ribosomal RNA (430 nucleotides) under Pseudomonadota bacterium. RNAcentral describes it as "Proteobacteria bacterium partial 16S ribosomal RNA". It matches the Rfam family "Bacterial small subunit ribosomal RNA", at positions 355 to 776 of the family's 1533-position model. Lineage: Bacteria; Pseudomonadati; Pseudomonadota. The record is from RNAcentral.
UGGGGAAUAUUGGACAAUGGGGGGAACCCUGAUCCAGCCAUGCCGCGUGUGUGAAGAAGGCCUUAUGGUUGUAAAGCACUUUAAGCGAGGAGGAGGGUACUGGUAUUAAUACUACCAGCUACUGGACGUUACUCGCAGAAUAAGCACCGGCUAACUCUGUGCCAGCAGCCGCGGUAAUACAGAGGGUGCAAGCGUUAAUCGGAAUUACUGGGCGUAAAGCGCGCGUAGGUGGUUCGUUAAGUUGAAUGUGAAAGCCCCGGGCUCAACCUGGGAACUGCAUCCAAAACUGGCGAGAUAGAGUAGGGCAGAGGGUGGUGGAAUUUCCUGUGUAGCGGUGAAAUGCGUAGAUAUAGGAAGGAACACCAGUGGCGAAGGCGACCACCUGGGCUCAUACUGACACUGAGGUGCGAAAGCGUGGGGAGCAAACAGG